This 148-nucleotide ribosomal RNA is filed under the name uncultured bacterium. RNAcentral describes it as "partial 16S ribosomal RNA". It matches the Rfam family "Bacterial small subunit ribosomal RNA", at positions 382 to 523 of the family's 1533-position model. The record is from RNAcentral.
UCUGAUGGAGCACGCCGCGUGAGUGAAGAAGGUCUUCGGAUCGUAAAACUCUGUUGUUAGAGAAGAACACGAGUGAGAGUAACUGUUCAUUCGAUGACGGUAUCUAACCAGCAAGUCACGGCUAACUACGUGCCAGCAGCCGCGGUAA